AUUGCUUCUCAGACUUUUGGCUAAGAUAAAGUUUAGCAUCUGUUCUUAUUAGUUUAAAACUUCUUUCAGAAAAAUGAUAGCUUUUCUGGAAAUUUAUUCUCUUUACUGUCUUUGAUGUGAAUUUCAGUACAAUUUGAUAAAUUCUAUGCUAAUCUCUA
This is a small nuclear RNA of Callithrix jacchus (white-tufted-ear marmoset), 158 nucleotides long. Its record names the gene U2. It matches the Rfam family "U2 spliceosomal RNA". From Rfam's summary of the family: U2 is a small nuclear RNA (snRNA) component of the spliceosome (involved in pre-mRNA splicing). Complementary binding between U2 snRNA (in an area lying towards the 5' end but 3' to hairpin I) and the branchpoint sequence (BPS) of the intron results the bulging out of an unpaired adenosine, on the BPS, which initiates a nucleophilic attack at the intronic 5' splice site, thus starting the first of two transesterification reactions that mediate splicing. The record is from Ensembl. Lineage: Eukaryota; Metazoa; Chordata; Mammalia; Primates; Cebidae.